Molecule: non-coding RNA, 58 nt
Organism: Aedes albopictus (Asian tiger mosquito)
Lineage: Eukaryota; Metazoa; Arthropoda; Insecta; Diptera; Culicidae
Source: Rfam
UAGCCUAGUGGUUAAGGCUAUGGAUCGCCAAUCCGGAGACGGCGGGUUCGAUUCCCGU